RNAcentral lists this long non-coding RNA (923 nucleotides) under Nicotiana benthamiana. RNAcentral's name for it is "long non-coding RNA (NBEN_LNC013044)". Lineage: Eukaryota; Viridiplantae; Streptophyta; Magnoliopsida; Solanales; Solanaceae. The record is from RNAcentral.
UCACCUAUACAAGGCCGGGAUAGAGGUUGAAAACUCGAUUUGAGCCUCGGAACAACAUUUAGCAUUUGUUCUUCUCAAAGAACAAAUGAAACAUUAUUUUGUGACUUGAAUCCAAAACUGGACUCAAACAAUCGAGCAAACAUCGAGCAAUAUGAGCAUCUGGGGUUCUGUCGGCUUUGUGGUUUAAGAUUCGAUCAGAUCAAGGAUGAUUUUAAAGGAAGUAGUUAGGGAUUUGGGAAGAGGGAAGUAAGGAGGACUUAUGGUGUAAUUUUAGAGUUGUUUGGAUUGUGGCGCCGCCGUGCACGACGGUGACGGCGCUAGGGUUUGGCAUUUUUGAGGUGUUUGAGUGAUGUUCGAAGAAAAUUAUUGGUAGAUUUAGAACGGGGAGGUGAAGCAGAGGAGAUAGUAAACGUUUGGGCGUCAUUUGAUGUUGGCCGCCGCCGUGGGGCAAUUUCUAGCGGCCGCAUUACAUUCUCUGUGUUUGGAACAUUUGGAGACGACGAGUUUUGGGGGGGGGGUGCAAGGACCCAAAUCACCACUCAGGUAUUCGAUCAGAUCAAGGAUGAUUUUAAAGGAAGUAGUUAGGGAUUUGGGAAGAGGGAAGUAAGGAGGACUUAUGGUGUAAUUUUAGAGUUGUUUGGAUUGUGGCGCCGCCGUGCACGACGGUGACGGCGCUAGGGUUUGGCAUUUUUGAGGUGUUUGAGUGAUGUUCGAAGAAAAUUAUUGGUAGAUUUAGAACGGGGAGGUGAAGCAGAGGAGAUAGUAAACGUUUGGGCGUCAUUUGAUGUUGGCCGCCGCCGUGGGGCAAUUUCUAGCGGCCGCAUUACAUUCUCUGUGUUUGGAACAUUUGGAGACGACGAGUUUUGGGGGGGGGGGGAGGUAAUAUUCGGACAUUUUUAUACCAAUUAACCUAGGAGACUUCC